This 77-nucleotide transfer RNA is filed under the name Vibrio parahaemolyticus. RNAcentral's name for it is "tRNA-Asp". It matches the Rfam family "tRNA". From Rfam's summary of the family: Transfer RNA (tRNA) molecules are approximately 80 nucleotides in length. Their secondary structure includes four short double-helical elements and three loops (D, anti-codon, and T loops). Lineage: Bacteria; Pseudomonadati; Pseudomonadota; Gammaproteobacteria; Vibrionales; Vibrionaceae. RNAcentral also lists the same sequence under 4 other names. The record is from RNAcentral.
GGAGCGGUAGUUCAGUUGGUUAGAAUACCGGCCUGUCACGCCGGGGGUUGCGGGUUCGAGUCCCGUCCGCUCCGCCA